This 264-nucleotide ribosomal RNA is filed under the name uncultured bacterium. RNAcentral describes it as "partial 16S rRNA". It matches the Rfam family "Bacterial small subunit ribosomal RNA", at positions 505 to 768 of the family's 1533-position model. The record is from RNAcentral.
GUGUCAGCCGCCGCGGUAAUACGUAGGUGGCAAGCGUUGUCCGGAUUUACUGGGCGUAAAGCGCGCGCAGGUGGUUUCUUAAGUCUGAUGUGAAAGCUCACGGCUUAACCGUGGAGGGUCAUUGGAAACUGGGAGACUUGAGUGCAGAAGAGGAAAGUGGAAUUCCAAGUGUAGCGGUGAAAUGUGUAGAGAUUUGGAGGAACACCAGUGGGGAAGGCGGCUUUCUGGUCUGCAACUGACGCUGAGGCGCGAAAGCGAGGGGAG